Non-coding RNA from Arachis ipaensis, 3817 nucleotides. The record is from RefSeq and is a predicted model, not a curated record. Lineage: Eukaryota; Viridiplantae; Streptophyta; Magnoliopsida; Fabales; Fabaceae.
AAGGAAAAAAAAGUCAUAAAAAUAAACCAUUGCUUCGACAGUUGCUGCUUUUGUUUGGCUAAUAAUCUCUCACGGAGUCGAUGAUUUAUCUUUAAAUACCUUCAAAUUUUUAGCUUUUCAAUAUGCCAGUUGUUGCGAUGGAAAUCGAAGCUCAUUCAUUCUUCAAGCAAUUUCUGAGUCUAGGCAAAAAAGAAGGAAGUGGAUAGUGAACUCGUCACUCGCCAUACACCGAGGGCGUAAGGGGACACCGAAUUGAUCCUGGUUUCAAAUCGAAGACCAAACCGCUUUUACUCUGCACUGCUCUGGUAAGAAUUUAGCUGGGGCAUGGUAAAAUUAGAAGGCCAGCAAAUACCCUAAAGCAAUGGAAUAGUUUUCAUUCCUCUCUUUAGACCAGCUAGGAGGCCAAGGUACUUGUUUUGGCAGCCUACAUGUGGAACUGAGAGUAGACCAGCCAAUUGAUCCCGAACAAUGGAAGGGGUAUUCUUGCUGAAAAAACAGAGGACUUAUCGAGAUUCACUACCUGUCCACUAACUUCUUCAUAAGUGUGUAGUACCUUAUGCAAAUUUUUGCAAUCUCUAGUAGUAGCUUUGUUAAACAAAAUGGAAUCAUCCACAAAGAAUAAAUGACUGAUCUUAGGGUAUCUAGAGUUCAGCCUUAAACCAGAGAUUUUUAGCCUUCGUUUUCCUCUGUGGAGCAGACGGAAUAGACCUUUUGUACAAAAUAAAAAUAGAUAGGGAGAGAGGGGAUCGCCUUGACAUAAACCUCUGCAUGGUUUGAAGAAACCAUGAGGUUGACCUUCCAUAGUAAUGGAGUAAGAAACCAUCUCCACACAUUCUCUGAUCCAGUCAAUCCACUUUUUGCAAAAACCCAUUUUGUUCAAAAUAGCCCAUACAAAACUCUACUCAACUCUGUCAUAUGCUUUAUUCAUAUCCAGAUUUAAUGCUAAUUUAUAAUCUCCAUAGGUCUUAUUCAGGAAGUGCAUGAAUCCGUGAGCAAUCAGCAUAUUGUCACUAAUUAAUCUCCCUUUAAUAAAAGCACUCUGAGUGUCGCUAAUAAUCCUAUUCAUGACAUUUUGUAAUCUGUGUACUAGGCUUUUAGAGAGUAUUUUAUAGAAAACACUACUCAGCCUUAUUGGUCUGACCUGCUUCAUAGAGUUAGCAUUUCUAACUUUUGGAAUAAGACAAAUAUUUGUAUGAUUGAAAGCUUUCACAUUUUACCUCCUGAAAAGAAGCUCUUGACUGCACAUAUCACAUCCUUUUUAAUUAGCUAUCAAUAGAACUGAAAAAACUUGGCCGUAAAACCAUCAUCUUCGGGGAAUAAGAAAGGAUUGAUAGAGAAAGUUGCUGACUUAAUCUCCUUCUCUGUCACUGAAUUUGUAAGAAAACGGUUGGUAGUGUCAUCAAUUUUAGUGCCUAUUUUCUAAAGAACUUCAGUUGGAUCCAUCGGGUUAGAUGUUGUAAAAAGCUUAACAAAAUAAUCUUGCGCAGCUGCCGCAAUACCAACUUGAUCCAAUGCUAAAUUUAUCGUCUACCAGUUCUUGAAUUUUGUUUCUGCGACAUCUUAACUGAAAUUUAGAGUGAAAAAUUUUGUAUUUUUAUCACCCCAAUUUAGCCACUGUACCCUGAAUUUUUCCUUCCAAAAACGCUCCUCUUGUUCCAAGUUUUCCUCUAAUUCAGCCUCCGAAAUUCGGACAGUAGUGCUAUUUGCCGCCACUCCUUUUGCCUUCUCAUCAUCCAACCUUGCUUGCAGGAUUUGAAUUUGAAUUUUUGAAUUAGGAGCCGUUGAUUUUUGCCAAUCUACCAGCUUAUGGCUGCAAUUUUUUAAUUUCGCAGCCAGUUUGAACAUAGGAAAACCAACAACAUUUAGGUCCCAAGCUUGUUUAACAAUUGUAGAAACCUCCUUUCUAAACAUCAACGCUCUUGGAAUCUGAAUCUUCUUUUAGUUCUUCGAUUUUCUCUCUCUAAGCUAAUUGAUAAUGGGAAGCAAUAUGAUCCGGUAUCAUCUAAAUGAGCAACAAAACCAUUCGGAUAUGCUGUCCUUCAGCUCUUAGAUGCUAAAGCUCUAUCCAACCUUUAAUUUCUUGAAUGAAAUUACUUCCAAAGUGCCUGUUGCACCAUGUAAAUUUCUUUCAUUCAUACCCUAGAUCCACCAAAUCACCUUCAUAAAUAAAGUCAGUAAAGCUCUGAAUAGAUGAGACUGAUUUCAUCUUUCCUCUCUCCUUCUCAUGAUGACCUUUAAUUGCGUUAAAGUCUCCCACGCCACUACUAGAUUUUUCCUGUCGACUCUCUAAUUCGUAAGGUCUUAGCAAAUUAUUCUGCUCUAGCUGUCUCAUCCGUGUGUAAAUGUACUGCUAUGACAUCCCAAACCUUCAUAUUCUGCUGAUCCUCCCAAGUGAAAUGUAUAAAGAAUGAAUCAUGUGGCAAAAUCUACAAUUUCACCUCUUUCUUCUAAGCUCCCGCAAGACCAACCGGCUUAACACAAAACAGCAACUGAAAAUCAGCUCCUAUAAUCACUCUCUCCAUUGUCGAAGUAUUACUUUAGUUUCACAGAGAAAUAAUACUUUGGGAGAAUGGGAUUUUAUAAUCCCUUUGAUGUAAAUUGUCAGGAGUUUUCCCAAACUCCGACAGUACCACAUUAUCAUCUUCAUAGCUCUUCGGAUGCCCUUUGAAGGAUGGCACCCUCUCCAUCGUUAACACCAACAUUUAUCUCCUGACAAACCCUUUUCUGCCCUAUAUUAUCCUUUUUCUCCUGAGAUCUUCUUUUCCUUCCUAUAAUGUCAAUAAUUUUUCUCGCAGCUAAUUGUUUCAGUUUGGGUCUCCUCUGGCUACUCUAUUUUUCGUAGCUGCUGCCUUCUUUAAAUACAAAGCAUUCAUCACUCCCUUGAAUAUUAUUGAGAACUCCCAACACGGUCAUUGGUUUUACUACUCUCAUCAUCAAGAUUCAGUAGCAGUUUCUUCUUAUUGAGAGAGUUAAUUACCAAUUCUUUCCCAUUUUUCCUCUGAUUUUUCCUCCAUGGAUAAGUUAGUUAUACCUUUAAGUAAACUCACUAGUAUUGACUUUUUAUCUUUUAUCCAUAUCCGAUCUUCCACUACAGAAUUAGGAAUAUAUAAUGGUAUCAUUUGAGUUUUGCUCCAGCUUUCCACCCUGUUAUGACCUUAGCCACUCUCCCAUCCUUCCUCAUCCACCUCUCUUUUCAAAGAGUCCUCUAGCUAUUUUUUACAGCCUCUUGUUUCGUGGCCUAAGUGUCCAUAAUAAUUACAAAAUAUACCAAUGCAUUCAUACUUAAGUGUUACCUCGAUUAUCUUCUUGUUAGGACCUGCCACUUUAGUAAUUCUGUGCAAGGGUUUGGUGAUAUCAAGAUUAAUUUGAGCCUUGAUUAUUCUGUUUUCCUUUCCUCUCACUUGAAAAAUAUCCACGUCUAGAAUCUCUCCCAUAUUUUCUCUUAUCUUCCGGUCAAUCUCUUUGGUUUUAUGAUGUUCCAGAAGCUCCUGUUGGACCCAUAUAGAUACUUGAGAAAAUUCUGCAUCAUCCAUUAGCACAUCUUCCUUCCACCUUCUCAAAUUUAGGAUAUAAUUUUUGAAGAGCCAUGGAGCUCCUCUUCCAAUCCUUAUCAUAUCCAUCUCCUCGUGAAAAUAAAAUUGAAAGAGGUUUCCUCCAUGGUCCGUGACCUUAAACCCUGCUGGUUGUCUUCAUAUUGCCUGCAUUGUUGCCUGUAGAGUACCUCCAGAGAAGGGUCGAUCAGCAAGUAACCUUUUAAGGAGACUCCUAGAGCAUCUCUCAACACCAGAUUGAAUAUCUUCUUUCUCCACCCUCACUA